UGCACCAGUUGCUGGACUUACUUCCU
This 26-nucleotide non-coding RNA is filed under the name Rattus norvegicus (Norway rat). The record is from RNAcentral. Lineage: Eukaryota; Metazoa; Chordata; Mammalia; Rodentia; Muridae.